RNAcentral lists this microRNA precursor (72 nucleotides) under Marmota monax (woodchuck). Lineage: Eukaryota; Metazoa; Chordata; Mammalia; Rodentia; Sciuridae. The record is from RNAcentral.
UAUGUAUGUGUGUGUGUGUGUCUGUGUGUGUAUAACAUAACACACACAGACACACACACACACACACAUAUA